This 253-nucleotide unclassified non-coding RNA is filed under the name Haloferula luteola. Its description in RNAcentral is "partial 16S ribosomal RNA". It matches the Rfam family "Bacterial small subunit ribosomal RNA", at positions 524 to 776 of the family's 1533-position model. RNAcentral also lists the same sequence under 1 other name. The record is from RNAcentral. Lineage: Bacteria; Pseudomonadati; Verrucomicrobiota; Verrucomicrobiia; Verrucomicrobiales; Verrucomicrobiaceae.
UACGAAGGUCCCGAGCGUUGUUCGGAAUCACUGGGCGUAAAGGGAGCGUAGGCGGCAAGGUAAGUCAGGUGUGAAAUCCCGGGGCUCAACCCCGGAACUGCACCCGAUACUGCUUUGCUAGAGUAAUGGAGGGGUAGCUGGAAUUCUCGGUGUAGCAGUGAAAUGCGUGGAUAUCGAGAGGAACACUUGUGGCGAAGGCGAGCUACUGGACAUUUACUGACGCUGAGGCUCGAAGGCCAGGGUAGCGAAAGGG